CGUGAGCAACCUGCCCAUAAGAGGGGGAUAACAGCUGGAAACGGCUGCUAAUACCGCAUAAGACCACAUUGCCACAUGGCAAAGGGGUCAAAGAUUUAUCGCUUAUGGAUGGGCUCGCGUCUGAUUAGCUAGUUGGUAGGGUAACGGCCUACCAAGGCAACGAUCAGUAGCCGACCUGAGAGGGUGAUCGGCCACACUGGAACUGAGACACGGUCCAG
This 218-nucleotide ribosomal RNA is filed under the name uncultured bacterium. RNAcentral describes it as "partial 16S ribosomal RNA". It matches the Rfam family "Bacterial small subunit ribosomal RNA", at positions 116 to 334 of the family's 1533-position model. The record is from RNAcentral.